Molecule: long non-coding RNA, 490 nt
Organism: Rosa rugosa (rugosa rose)
Lineage: Eukaryota; Viridiplantae; Streptophyta; Magnoliopsida; Rosales; Rosaceae
Exons: 5
Source: RefSeq, a predicted model, not a curated record
GCUAGCUACUUGAAGAAAAACUCUGAGCUCAAGACUCAAUGUUUCAAUCUAUCGUCUAAAAGCUUUGAGGUCGUUUGUGGCAUCUUUGAAGAAAAGAAUCAAUCAAUCGCAUUUCUCAAUUCAAGGGUGUUUUUGGUUUUUUCAAAAGGACAGAACUGUUGUUGGCAAGUGGACUAAGCAAUUUCCAGGUUGUUGAUGAUGUACAUCCUUUAACAAUAUAUGAUUCCUGAAGAUUGUCUGAGUUCAGAGAAUGACUUGCCUGCAGCCAUGAUGGAAUUGAUAUGGAUAAUAACGCAGCAGUUGCUAAUCUCCAUCACUUCCAUAUACUGUGGUUUAGCUACCCUUCUGUAAUCUUUCUGUCUUUUCUUUAUCUUAGCUAACAUAUGCAUGAAUUUGUAGAGGAACAAUAAAAUUUGCAUUAUGGAGUAUUGUAGAGUGGGUACUUUAUCUUUUAUUAAUUCAAAUGUACAUAGCAUUAGAAUUUUGUCAU